CAAAGAGUGCUUGAAAUUGUCGGGAGGGAAGCGGAUGGGGGCCGGUGAUGCGCCCCGGUCGGAUGCGGAACGGCGAGAGCCGGUCCGCCGAUCGGCUCGGGGCGUGGACCGAUGCGGAUUACGGCGGCGGCCCAAGCCCGGGCCUUCGAUAAGCCUGUGGAGACGUCGUCGCCGCAAUCAUGGCUAGCAGCCCGCGCCCUCCGGGUGUGCUUCGCGUACCUGCGCGCUCCCGGCAUCGGCCUGCGGGCUCCCCAUUCACCCC
This 262-nucleotide ribosomal RNA is filed under the name Citrus sinensis (sweet orange). RNAcentral describes it as "partial 26S ribosomal RNA". Lineage: Eukaryota; Viridiplantae; Streptophyta; Magnoliopsida; Sapindales; Rutaceae. The record is from RNAcentral.